GAAGAGGAGGAUGAGGAGGAGGAGGAGGAAGAGCUGGAGUCCUGUUCAGAGAUUGGGAGAGUAACAUUAUGAUGAAAAUCUGCUAUGAAGAAGAGGAGGAGGAGGAAGAGGAAGAACUGGAGUCCUAUUCAGAGAUUGGGAGAAUAAUACAAAACACUGAUACCUGACUGCACAAAUAGAUUACUGGAUUACACAAGCAACAAAGGAAAAAUAACAAACCUUCUUCUUCUUCUUCUUCUUCUUUUUCUUCUUCUUCACUUUCUUCUUCUUUUUCUUUUCAUCAUCACUAUCAGAUGAGGAAGAGGAGGAAGAAGAACUGGAGUCCUGUUAAGACAAUUUUUAGGAACAAACACAAGUCAUUACAUAAUAAUAAUAAUCAUAAUAAUAAUAAUAAUAAUAAUGCAUCCAAUUUAUGUAGGUCAUGGAAGAUGUCAGAAAAUUGGGACCGCAGAAUUAAAUACUGUAUUGGAUAAUACAAGAGGUACAAAUGCAAACCUUCUUCUUUUUCUUCUUCUUUUUCUUUUUCUUCUUUUUCUUCUUGUCAUCAUCACUGUCAGAAGAUGAUGACGAUGAAGAAGAAGAAGAAGAACUGGAGUCCUGUUAAUACAGUUUAAGUAUAAUAAGUACGUAUAAUAAACCAACUCACAAUAAAUAAAAUAAAGUCAAUACAAGAGGGAUAACGCACCUUCUUUUUCUUCUUCUUCUUUUUCUUCUUCUUUUUCUUCUUUUUGUCAUCAUCACUUUCUGAGGAAGAGCUAUCAGAAGACGAAGAAGAGGAGGA
Molecule: long non-coding RNA, 781 nt
Organism: Syngnathus acus (greater pipefish)
Lineage: Eukaryota; Metazoa; Chordata; Actinopteri; Syngnathiformes; Syngnathidae
Exons: 2
Source: RefSeq, a predicted model, not a curated record